RNAcentral lists this transfer-messenger RNA (361 nucleotides) under Longimicrobiales. RNAcentral describes it as "RSA9 sp003242735 Standard tmRNA". It matches the Rfam family "transfer-messenger RNA". From Rfam's summary of the family: Bacterial tmRNA, also known as 10Sa RNA or SsrA, is named for its dual tRNA and mRNA-like properties. Lineage: Bacteria; Pseudomonadati; Gemmatimonadota; Longimicrobiia. RNAcentral also lists the same sequence under 1 other name. The record is from RNAcentral.
GGGGCCGACCUGGAUUCGACGCGUUUAGUGAAGUCGGCGCCGCGUGCCGGGGACCCGCAACCCCGUGACAAGCGGGAAAACAAACAAGUGCCAACUCUCAACUGGCGCUGGCUGCGUAACUGAGUUUACGCAACCCGUCUCCGGUUUGACCGGGCCCGAGGUCGGGCCGGAGACGUCGACGAAUCGGGCUGGCCUGUGAUCGGUGCCGCGUCGGUCGCAGGCGAGAUCUCACGCGGCUGGUCCGUGAGGGGCCGUCCGCUGGCCGAUGAUCGGACGAGAACAACAGAACAGCGGACUACGCACGUAGACGCGCUGAGGGAUCUAUUCGCGGACGCGGGUUCGACUCCCGCCGGCUCCAUGA